CUAAAAUGUAGGCAAAGAAAAGAAAAUUUCUAACGUUGUAGGGGAGCGUAAAAAAGGAAACUCAAAAUUUCGAACGUUGUUGAGAGCAGAGAAAAAGGCGAAAUAUUAGGAGAAAGCCUAUCAGGUUAAUAUAAACAAUUGUCUUUCAUUUACAGAGAUUGCUUCUUCGAAUGUUUGUUCUCUUCUGUCAGUGUUUUCUUCUUUUUUCUCAGUUAUCUCUUUCGUUAUAAUUUUUGUUUUUUAAGGAUUUUUUCAAUUGUGUAGGGUUUUGUACAGCGCGCUGGUCUGUCUGUUCAUGUUGUUGUUUCUGGUCUGUCUGUUUAUGUUGUUGUUUAUCUGUGAUUUCUUUGUUUUUAUUUUUCAUCUGUAGUUUCUUCUGUGUUUUUUUUGGGUUUUGGUUUAUUUAUGUAUUAGCAGAGGAAGAGGCUGAACAAAGGAAGCGACAACUGAUGGACGCAAAAUUCUUCUUCCAGAUAAGAUUCUCAGAAAAAUAGAAAAAUGCAGAAGAAUUGUCUGUGGGUUGAUAUAAUACAAAGAAGCUGAAAUCAAUGAAGUUGAUGCACUUGGUGCUGUUGGCAAGAUGAGGAAAAAAGAGACUCAGGUUGCACGAAAUUCAAGUAGAUAGUGAUGGCUCACAACCCCUCCCAGUGACCUCAAUGCAAAAUAUUGAAUCUUGUUGUAAAUUAUUACCAGCUUGUCGCUUUUGGAACAGGAAGGUUGCCAAGUAUUUUGAUAACAAGGAUCUCACUCAGCUAGUUAUUUUUCACCAUUAUGGAAGGAUCAAGCAUAUAGGAGUGAAGUUGUUGGUACGGAUUCAAAGCAGCAAGAGAUGUGAUUGGUCUCUUACCAUUUCUUUUAUAAUAUUUUGAUCAAUUACAUUGAUCUAGCUUUGUAACAUGUAAAAAAUACAAUAUCUAAUAAAAGAAAGUUAUUGGAAUGGGUUAAAAACCCCUUUCAAAGACUGAAGGGUGGUCAUUAGCCUUGGCCAUUCCUUAAAGUCGCUUAUUUUUUUGACAGCCUAAAGAAUGGUCAUUAGGCCAAGGCCAUUCUUUAAGGUCUGUCUCUUGUGUCCCUUGCAUUUUUUUGG
This is a long non-coding RNA of Cryptomeria japonica (Japanese cedar), 1087 nucleotides long. RefSeq lists it as uncharacterized. The transcript is spliced from 4 exons. Lineage: Eukaryota; Viridiplantae; Streptophyta; Pinopsida; Cupressales; Cupressaceae. The record is from RefSeq and is a predicted model, not a curated record.